Molecule: ribosomal RNA, 408 nt
Filed under: bacterium enrichment culture clone ALO1_GLFRUDD03HG0SE
Lineage: Bacteria
Description: bacterial SSU rRNA
Rfam family: Bacterial small subunit ribosomal RNA
Source: RNAcentral
GAGUUUGAUCGUGGCUCAGAUUGAACGCUGGCGGCAUGCCUUACACAUGCAAGUCGAACGGCAGCACGGGAGCUUGCUCCUGGUGGCGAGUGGCGAACGGGUGAGUAAUGCAUCGGAACGUAUCCUGGAGUGGGGGAUAACGUAGCGAAAGUUACGCUAAUACCGCAUAUUCUGUGAGCAGGAAAGCGGGGGACCUUCGGGCCUCGCGCUCUUGGAGCGGCCGAUGUCGGAUUAGCUAGUUGGUGAGGUAAAGGCUACACCAAGGCGACGAUCCGUAGCAGGUCUGAGAGGAUGAUCUGCCACACUGGAACUGAGACACGGUCCAGACUCCUACGGGAGGCAGCAGUGGGGAAUUUUGGACAAUGGGGGCAACCCUCGAUCCAGCCAUGCCGCGUGAGUGAAGAAGGA